Long non-coding RNA from Triticum dicoccoides, 687 nucleotides. RefSeq lists it as uncharacterized. The record is from RefSeq and is a predicted model, not a curated record. The transcript is spliced from 3 exons. Lineage: Eukaryota; Viridiplantae; Streptophyta; Magnoliopsida; Poales; Poaceae.
GUUCCACCCGCGGCGAAGACAUGGAGGCCGACGGCUUGGAAUCCCUUCUAGAUGCAGUCGACAGGUGCGCAAGCCUGUUUGCCUCGGUCGUCCUUUUGCGUUUUAUUUGUGCAUUAUUCGCGAUUUUGUCCGCGGUAAAGCAACUCUGAGACGAUUCGAUACCAUGUUUCCACUGCGAGAGGAAUUCGUUGCAGAGCAACCAAAUCCGGCGCCCCUCGCUGUACUGCCGCGGGGUGGAGCCAUUCAGGAAUUGUGCAUCCGGCUGCGUACAGGACGUGGGGAACCGCAGAUCGCACAGAAGUGUCUGCCAGGCCAGGGGAAGGAAGAACACUACCCCGACGCAGUCCGCGCAGUCAACCGGGAAGGUUAACCCAGAGGCUCCAGGCUGUACGAAGAGGUUGAGGCUAGUCAGUGCUCCACUAGACAGAACCCCAUGCCUGUUGAGGAUGAGCACGUUGGAGAAAUUAAUUAGGCAGUAUGCAGAAGCUUUCUAAGUGUGUGAUAAAGCCUGAGUUGGGGAUAAGCUUUGACUCGCUAGGUGAACACUUCUACAACCUAUGUUCGAGAUCAGAACAGAGCCAUGGAGGACGCUAUCAGUAAAGUGUUCCCGGAUACUUCCAUAGUUACAUGAAAAUGUUUAGAAUGCACGCGGACUUUCUUAAUUUUGGAUUUAGACUGGACUGCAAG